CCCGCCGCCGCCAACAUCAAAGGCCUUCCAGUUCUCGUAGCCUCGCGGGCCCAGGUGGUCGGGGUGAACGAAGGGCUUCAAGGUACAGUUCGUGAUCAGCGGGUACACGACUUGCCCGCCCGCGAAGAACGAUGCCCAGAACCCGAAGGAACCCACAGUCAUGAUGGAGUGGGAGCAGGACCCCAGCAACGCCAUGUCCUCUGCCGCCGUCUUCAUGUCUGCGUGAGGAGGAGCAGGAGGAGGAGGAGGAGAAGAAAAGAAGACGAAAAGAAGAAAAAAAGGAGGGCAGUAAAAAUGAAAAUAAUUACAACAACAAGUACUACCACAAUAGCUUUUUCUGUUGCUAUUUUAUAACAACUACCACUGCUAUACUCCAUUGUUUUCAUCUCAGGAAAGAAAUUCCAAUUCCCACACUGCCGCAAUCCGUGCAUUCCUCUCAGCAAACACAUAAUUGAUAAUUGAAGAUCCUCUAUAGUCCUCCACCACUCAGCCUGUGCUCGGCCAACCACGCCCCGCGAACGGGUGGUGGACGGUCCUCAAGCCCCUGGCCAGGUCACGGGGCAGCUUCCCGCUCAGGGCCGGACAAGCCUCGUCGUCGUGUCGUGAGGGCACUCCAAGUUUCGGUCAGGGAACUUGGCUGUCAUACUAUAGAAGUGAUCCUAUGAAACCCAGGUGAGGUGUGGCUGCUCGGAGGGUGGGCGGUGUAACAGUGUCAACAGACAGAUGAUACGUACUUGUUGGAUGUGUUCAUAAGUUUAAAGUAGUGCAAAUACAAUAUAUUUUAUUUUUCUUCGAUGAAUACUGUUGUAUUUAGCAUUGCUGUAUACCAGUUAUGUGUUUGCUGAGGCGAAUGCACGGGUUGCGACAAUUAGGGUGAGGGGCGCCGGACGGUAAUAUAUUUUCUGAGACGGAACUGGAUUAACUACUACUACUACUACUACUACUGCUUCUACUACUACUACUACUACUACUACUACUACUACUGUUGCUGCUGCUGCUUCUAUGAGUUCUUGUUUGAUUAUUUUAUUUAAGAAAAAAAUUACACAAAAAACAGAGAGAGAGAGAGAGAGAGAGAGAGAGAGAGAGAGAGAGAGAGAGAGAGAGAGAGAGAGAGAGAGAGAGAGAGAGAGAGAGAGAGAGAGAGAGAGAGAGAGAGAGAGAGAGAGAGAGAGAGAGAGAGAGAGAGAGAGAGAGAGAGAUUUACAUAGAAAAUCAGACCACACAGACCCCAUGGUCCAGACUAGGUGGUCUGUCCUUAAACCUAAGUGAUUUUACAUUAAUCAGAUGGCUCCAAAACGUUGCUUUUCUACUCUAGUUAAUAUUAAGUUCAAGGAAGUGACGGUCGAACUUGUUUUUAAAGGAGUCAAUCGUGUUACAGUGGACCACUGAUGGUGGGAGCUUAUUCCAUUCUCGCACUACAACGUUGGUGAAGAAAAAUUUGGUGCAGUCUGAAUUUACUUGUCUACAUUUGAGUUUUGUGCCAUUGUUCCUCGUUCGCAAAGUGUCAUCGAUCAUAAACAAUUUUGUUCUGUCUACAUUCGUGAAACCAUUAAGUAUUUUAAAACAUUCGAUCAGUUUUCCUCGGAGGCGACGUUUCUCAAGAGAGAACAUGGUAAGGGUGGAAAGCCUUUCUUCGUAGGAUUUGUUGCGCAAGGAAGGGAUCAUUUUUGUUGCUCGACGCUGAACACCUUCUAGUUUAGCAAUGUCCUUUGCAUGGUGGGAAGACCAAAACUGUACCGCAUAUUCCAAGUGGGGUCUGACUAAACUAUUGUAGAGCGGAAGUAUUACAUCUUUAUUUUUUAAUAAAAAGUUUCUUUUAAUGAAGCCCAACAUUCUGUUCGCUUUAUUUGCUGCAUCGAUGCAUUGAUGUGAGAAAUUGAGGUUUGACGCGAUUUUAAUCCCCAGGUCCUUAACUUUUGAGUUUAACGCCGCGUAUUUCGUAAUCGAACUUCUUAUUUUUUGUUCCAACUUGAAGGACCUGGCACUUGUCUACGUUAAAGGGCAUCUCCCAUUUAUCCGACCAAGCUGAAAUUUUGUGCAAAUCCUCUUGGAGGCUUUGCCUGUCUUCGUCAGUGAGGACCGAGUUACCAAUCUUUGUGUCGUCUGCAAAUUUACUAAUGCGAUUAUUGAGUCCAACAUCCACGUCGUUGAUGUAAAUAAUGAAGAGCACUGGGCCAAGAACCGAGCCCUGAGGGACGCCACUAGUGACCGGCGCCCACUCUGAGUUAAAUCCGUCAAUCACAACUCUUUGUUGUCUGUUGCUCAACCAAUUCGCGAUCCAUUGGUUUACUUGACCGUCAAUGCCUAUUUGCUUUAAUUUAUAAAGUAAUUUAUGAUGUGGGAAUUUAUCAAACGCUUUCUGGAAAUCAAGAUAGACUACGUCCACUGAUUUGGUUACGUCAUAAAUUGAGAAGAGAUCGUUAUAAAAGGUCAGUAGGUUUGACAGGCAGGAUCUUUUGUUACGGAAGCCAUGUUGUGAAUCCCCAAUUAAUGAGUGGCUUUCGAGGUAACUCACAAUUUUGUCUCUAAUUAUGCUGAGAGAGAG
This is a long non-coding RNA of Eriocheir sinensis (Chinese mitten crab), 2545 nucleotides long. RefSeq lists it as uncharacterized. The record is from RefSeq and is a predicted model, not a curated record. NCBI's taxonomy places the organism in Eukaryota, Metazoa, Arthropoda, Malacostraca, Decapoda, Varunidae. The transcript has 3 exons.